UACAUAAGCGGACCCUUAAAGUUGUCACAAAAUUCCAUUUAGAGACCUUAACUAUGACCUUAACCUAUUGAACACUUAAUGUCUCACAUAAUAGUAUCUAUUGAACACAAAUUUGACAAUUCCAAACCAGCUCUAGUGCGUGUACAUCAAUCUCUUUUGAAGUGGCAAACUAAACCAAUUAAAAUAAUACAUGACAGGAAAAUAAUAUAAAGGUACAAAAAAAUAGUCAAAAUUUGACCCAAAAAAUAAGAAAGAGAAAGCAGGUGGCGGCCGGUGGAAGGGAAGGUGUCAGUGGGCGAGAAAGGUCGAGAAAUUUAUCGGCCGACCGUAAAGCAUUUUCCGAUCUUUAUUGAAUGGAGAAGGAAAGGUGGUCCUUCAAUCAUAGAUAAGCAAACGAAAACAAACAUACCGUAAUAAGAAAAGAAAGUAGCAAGGAAAAAUAAAUUGAUGGUUACUGAUGGUUCUUUUUAGACACCUAUUUUAUAUUUUUUGGUGUUUAAAGCAUGGGUGAUUCAGACCUACCUUAGAUGAAAUAGGAGAUGGGCAGUUCUGGUGCAAUCCGAAUAAGUCAUAGGUAAUACUUGUGGUGAUUGUCGGAUCUGACGACGGAGAGGGAUGUGGUGUGAUGAUGGCCAGACUUGAAGAGAAGGGAAGGUGGCCGGAGAAGAAAAGGUAUCUAGUCAUUUUCCGGAAGUAAUAAAAGUUUUAGGCUAUUCACGCGCUUGGAAGAGAUGACAAACACAUAUAUUUACAUGUCAGCAAAAUGUGUUCAAUAGAUACACUUGUGUGUAACAUCAAAUGUUGAAUGGGUAAAGGUCAUAGUUAAAGUGUCUAAAUAAAAUUUUGUUACAAUUUUAA
Nicotiana tabacum (common tobacco) is the source of this 858-nucleotide long non-coding RNA. RefSeq lists it as uncharacterized. Lineage: Eukaryota; Viridiplantae; Streptophyta; Magnoliopsida; Solanales; Solanaceae. The record is from RefSeq and is a predicted model, not a curated record.